Molecule: transfer RNA, 57 nt
Filed under: Loxodonta africana (African savanna elephant)
Lineage: Eukaryota; Metazoa; Chordata; Mammalia; Proboscidea; Elephantidae
Rfam family: tRNA
About the family: Transfer RNA (tRNA) molecules are approximately 80 nucleotides in length. Their secondary structure includes four short double-helical elements and three loops (D, anti-codon, and T loops).
Source: Rfam by way of RNAcentral
GUGGUUCAGUGGUAGAAUUCUUGCUUUCCAUGCAGGAGACCCAGGCUCAUUCCUGGC